GAUUAUGAACAGCAGAACAUUCUGGAUUCAUUGCCUCUCAAUUACCAGAAGUUGAAAGCCACAUAUAGUGUGAGUCCCAAGAGAAAAAAGAAAAAAAAAAGUCUCUAUAUCUUCAUCAAAGAUAAUGGAAGCAAAUACAUGUCCACAGCAUCAGAUAAUGUGCAGAGCUGAUGUUCAUAUAAAAGAGAAGAAAUACAGCAAGAAGAAAAAGGACUCUGAAAAUGCUGAGGUUGAAAUACAAUACUGUAAAUGGGACAGCCAUGAACAUCCACAACUUCAUGUAGAAGAGGAUGGAAACAUUGAAUUUACUAACAAUCACAGGAGCACACAAGGAAGCUUGCAGUCUUCAGCUCUUGAAACAGAAGAUGAUGGUGAUGAUAAUGAUUUCACUGAUGAUGCCUAUGAAAAAACAGUGAAAAGAAAAGGAAAUAAGACAGAGAAAAUAGUAACAGAGUCUAAAAAAUAUCAAGAACCAGAUUUGCAAGACAAACAAUAUGUUGAACCAGAUUUGUCUGAAGGACAACAUGAUAAGUUAGAUAUACCAGAAUUACCUGAAAUUUUACCUUUGUAUAAUGUUAAAAAGUAUAUAAAUCGUGAAAGGAAAAAAACGUAUCCAAUGCAAAUUCGAGUCUAUGGGGUUGUAAGAACAUAUGAAGAAUGCUUUUAUCAGUUUCCUCCAGGAGUUGGCAUUCCUCCUGAAGAGAUUGAAGAGAUUCCUGAUGAAUAUAACCAUUGGAAACGUGAAUGGAAGGUUCUCUCAGAAAAAAAGUUUACAGAAGAAGAAAUAAAAGAAGAAAUAGAGAAUAAGAUAGAUAAGAUUUGUGAUUAUUUUCAUAGAUUUUAUACUGGAAAUCUAACAAUCAAGGAAUUGAAACCAAAGCGACCCAGAAAUUUUUUUGAAGUGUAUUUACCUACACCAGACCAAGUAGAGUUUCUAAAAAACUUGCACAUCAAAGUGAAUUGGAAACUCAGUUUAGUUCAUAGAUAUUGUUAUGAAUUCAUAUAUGGAACAUCUGCAUGCAGAGCAAUGGCUGCACAUGGAAUAGAAUGGAGAAAAAGCACUGGAUUAUCUAGGGUUGAAAAAGAAGUUGUAUUGAGUAACUGGAUUCGCUUUCAAAAGGAAUACAAAUUCUACGACUUGAGACCUUUACUUGCUGUGAAAACCUUGCAGUUAGUACGUGAUGGUUCCGAAAUAGAUAUAACAAACUGGCAGUACAUAUCUAGAAGGAACUUCAUCAAUUUUGGACUUUAUCUCUGCAGGGGAUUGCCUGAACGCACACCAAUGCAGUACGAAUUGGGCCAUGGACUGAAGCUGAGAAAAACAGACUGUUGAUGGGAUUAUUUUCAGAAUUGGACAUCAAGUCACUUGAUGAUGUUUUAGAUAUGCGUGCUGUUCCAUGGAACAGAAUUCUCCCAUAUGUCAGGACACGUAGUUAUAUGAACUUGAAGCAGCGCUGUCAUUACAUGAUUUGUAAGGAAAGACAGAGAUGUGGAGAAAGCUUCUCAGAUGAAAAUCGUGUUAAGCU
This is a non-coding RNA of Penaeus vannamei (Pacific white shrimp), 1526 nucleotides long. The record is from RefSeq and is a predicted model, not a curated record. NCBI's taxonomy places the organism in Eukaryota, Metazoa, Arthropoda, Malacostraca, Decapoda, Penaeidae.